RNAcentral lists this microRNA precursor (98 nucleotides) under Equus caballus (horse). Its description in RNAcentral is "mir-544 microRNA precursor family". It matches the Rfam family "mir-544 microRNA precursor family". Lineage: Eukaryota; Metazoa; Chordata; Mammalia; Perissodactyla; Equidae. The record is from Rfam by way of RNAcentral.
AUCACCUGGGGAUCUUGUUAAAAGGCAGAUUCUAAUUGAGUAGCUUUGGAGUGGGAGUAGAGAUUCUGCAUUUCUAACAAGCUCCCAGGUGAUGCUGA